UACGUAGGGGGCUAGCGUUGCUCGGAAUCACUGGGCGUAAAGCGCACGUAGGCGGCUUUCUAAGUCAGGGGUGAAAUCCUGGAGCUCAACUCCAGAACUGCCUUUGAUACUGGAAAGCUUGAGUUCGGGAGAGGUGAGUGGAACUGCGAGUGUAGAGGUGAAAUUCGUAGAUAUUCGCAAGAACACCAGUGGCGAAGGCGGCUCACUGGCCCGAUACUGACGCUGAGGUGCGAAAGCGUGGGGAGCAAACAGG
Molecule: ribosomal RNA, 253 nt
Filed under: uncultured bacterium
Lineage: Bacteria
Description: partial 16S ribosomal RNA
Rfam family: Bacterial small subunit ribosomal RNA
Source: RNAcentral